GACGAACGCUGGCGGCGUGCCUAAUACAUGCAAGUCGAACGCUUCUUUCCUCCCGAGUGCUUGCACUCAAUUGGAAAGAGGAGUGGCGGACGGGUGAGUAACACGUGGGUAACCUACCCAUCAGAGGGGGAUAACACUUGGAAACAGGUGCUAAUACCGCAUAACAGUUUAUGCCGCAUGGCAUAAGAGUGAAAGGCGCUUUCGGGUGUCGCUGAUGGAUGGACCCGCGGUGCAUUAGCUAGUUGGUGAGGUAACGGCUCACCAAGGCCACGAUGCAUAGCCGACCUGAGAGGGUGAUCGGCCACACUGGGACUGAGACACGGCCCAGACUCCUACGGGAGGCAGCAGUAGGGAAUCUUCGGCAAUGGACGAAAGUCUGACCGAGCAACGCCGCGUGAGUGAAGAAGGUGUUCGGAUCGUAAAACUCUGUUGUUAGAGAAGAACAAGGACGUUAGUAACUGAACGCCCCCUGACGGUAUCUAACCAGAAAGCCACGGCUAACUACGUG
RNAcentral lists this ribosomal RNA (508 nucleotides) under uncultured bacterium. Its description in RNAcentral is "partial 16S ribosomal RNA". It matches the Rfam family "Bacterial small subunit ribosomal RNA", at positions 28 to 507 of the family's 1533-position model. The record is from RNAcentral.